This 1453-nucleotide ribosomal RNA is filed under the name Staphylococcus aureus. RNAcentral's name for it is "partial 23S ribosomal RNA". It matches the Rfam family "Bacterial large subunit ribosomal RNA", at positions 12 to 1465 of the family's 2925-position model. Lineage: Bacteria; Bacillati; Bacillota; Bacilli; Caryophanales; Staphylococcaceae. The record is from RNAcentral.
UAAGGGCGCACGGUGGAUGCCUUGGCACUAGAAGCCGAUGAAGGACGUUACUAACGACGAUAUGCUUUGGGGAGCUGUAAGUAAGCUUUGAUCCAGAGAUUUCCGAAUGGGGAAACCCAGCAUGAGUUAUGUCAUGUUAUCGAUAUGUGAAUACAUAGCAUAUCAGAAGGCACACCCGGAGAACUGAAACAUCUUAGUACCCGGAGGAAGAGAAAGAAAAUUCGAUUCCCUUAGUAGCGGCGAGCGAAACGGGAAGAGCCCAAACCAACAAGCUUGCUUGUUGGGGUUGUAGGACACUCUAUACGGAGUUACAAAGGACGACAUUAGACGAAUCAUCUGGAAAGAUGAAUCAAAGAAGGUAAUAAUCCUGUAGUCGAAAAUGUUGUCUCUCUUGAGUGGAUCCUGAGUACGACGGAGCACGUGAAAUUCCGUCGGAAUCUGGGAGGACCAUCUCCUAAGGCUAAAUACUCUCUAGUGACCGAUAGUGAACCAGUACCGUGAGGGAAAGGUGAAAAGCACCCCGGAAGGGGAGUGAAAUAGAACCUGAAACCGUGUGCUUACAAGUAGUCAGAGCCCGUUAAUGGGUGAUGGCGUGCCUUUUGUAGAAUGAACCGGCGAGUUACGAUUUGAUGCAAGGUUAAGCAGUAAAUGUGGAGCCGUAGCGAAAGCGAGUCUGAAUAGGGCGUUUAGUAUUUGGUCGUAGACCCGAAACCAGGUGAUCUACCCUUGGUCAGGUUGAAGUUCAGGUAACACUGAAUGGAGGACCGAACCGACUUACGUUGAAAAGUGAGCGGAUGAACUGAGGGUAGCGGAGAAAUUCCAAUCGAACCUGGAGAUAGCUGGUUCUCUCCGAAAUAGCUUUAGGGCUAGCCUCAAGUGAUGAUUAUUGGAGGUAGAGCACUGUUUGGACGAGGGGCCCCUCUCGGGUUACCGAAUUCAGACAAACUCCGAAUGCCAAUUAAUUUAACUUGGGAGUCAGAACAUGGGUGAUAAGGUCCGUGUUCGAAAGGGAAACAGCCCAGACCACCAGCUAAGGUCCCAAAAUAUAUGUUAAGUGGAAAAGGAUGUGGCGUUGCCCAGACAACUAGGAUGUUGGCUUAGAAGCAGCCAUCAUUUAAAGAGUGCGUAAUAGCUCACUAGUCGAGUGACACUGCGCCGAAAAUGUACCGGGGCUAAACAUAUUACCGAAGCUGUGGAUUGUCCUUUGGACAAUGGUAGGAGAGCGUUCUAAGGGCGUUGAAGCAUGAUCGUAAGGACAUGUGGAGCGCUUAGAAGUGAGAAUGCCGGUGUGAGUAGCGAAAGACGGGUGAGAAUCCCGUCCACCGAUUGACUAAGGUUUCCAGAGGAAGGCUCGUCCGCUCUGGGUUAGUCGGGUCCUAAGCUGAGGCCGACAGGCGUAGGCGAUGGAUAACAGGUUGAUAUUCCUGUACCACCUAUAAUCGUUUUAAUCGAU